UAGUUGGUGAGGUAACGGCUCACCAAGGCCACGAUGCAUAGCCGACCUGAGAGGGUGAUCGGCCACACUGGGACUGAGACACGGCCCAGACUCCUACGGGAGGCAGCAGUAGGGAAUCUUCGGCAAUGGACGAAAGUCUGACCGAGCAACGCCGCGUGAGUGAAGAAGGUUUUCGGAUCGUAAAACUCUGUUGUUAGAGAAGAACAAGGACGUUAGUAACUGAACGUCCCCUGACGGUAUCUAACCAGAAAGCCACGGCUAACUACGUGCCAGCAGCCGCGGUAAUACGUAGGUGGCAAGCGUUGUCCGGAUUUAUUGGGCGUAAAGCGAGCGCAGGCGGUUUCUUAAGUCUGAUGUGAAAGCCCCCGGCUCAACCGGGGAGGGUCAUUGGAAACUGGGAGACUUGAGUGCAGAAGAGGAGAGUGGAAUUCCAUGUGUAGCGGUGAAAUGCGUAGAUAUAUGGAGGAACACCAGUGG
RNAcentral lists this ribosomal RNA (477 nucleotides) under Enterococcus faecalis. RNAcentral's name for it is "bacterial SSU rRNA". It matches the Rfam family "Bacterial small subunit ribosomal RNA", at positions 246 to 715 of the family's 1533-position model. Lineage: Bacteria; Bacillati; Bacillota; Bacilli; Lactobacillales; Enterococcaceae. The record is from RNAcentral.